UAUCCAUCUCUAUCAAUGCAAGGAUUCUCCCUCAAACUCGAGACGGUAGUGGGGGCAGGACAGUACCCAUAGGUACAAGUCUGUUUGCCAAGCCUAGGUGGUAGUAAAUGAGAACCCAAGUAAGUUUAUGUGAGUUGGUGACUAAAGGCUUGAGGGAAAGGGGAUCCAUUAGUCUCCUUUCUUUUUAAUAUUGUGGCAAAAAUAUGUGGUAUGAUUAGAGAAACAAUUGACAAAGGUCUAUUUCAUAAGUUCAAGGUGGGAAAGAUGAAGUGCUAAUAAAUCUUCUCCAAUAUGCAGAUGAGACAAUGUUUUUGCAAGAAUUUAUUGUAUUCUUGAAAAAUAUUUCAAAAGAUAAAGUCCUACAUUGUUUAGAAUAAUUUUCUCUCAAGUAUUUAUAUAUUAACUUAGGAUAUAAAUUUUUGAAGUGACUAGAAAGAUAUGGAAGUCUCUUAUGCAUAAGCUUAGCCCAAUGGGCUUAUAAAAAUUCAUCUCUUUGGUGGAGAGAUUUACACAAGGUAUAUGUGGAGGCAAGAACCAAAAUAAAUUGGUUUAAUAGCUAGGUGGAGUGGAAAAUUGGUGGUGGCAAAAAAAUCAAAAUUUUUGGUCAAGAGCCUCUUGCAAAUACAUACAUAUCCUAGGCUUUUAUUAUAUUCUACACAAAAAAGAAGAGACUGUUGGAAGUAUGGGGGCUUGGAUAGGUGAAAUUUGCUAUGGCGCCGUGAUCGGUUUGAGUGGGAGGAAAUUAUGGUAAAUUUGCUAGGAUUGCUACAAAAUGUUAAUAUUAAAAAGGAUGUGAGUGAUGAGUGGUUUUGGAGGGAGGGAAGUCUGAACUGUACACAGUUAAAUCGGCAUACACUACAGUGUGUGAAAAUUUGAUGGGAAGCCAGCAUAUGGAAAGUUUUUAUAACAUGGAAAAUACAAGUUCCACCGAGAAUUAAUACCUUUUUGUUGAGAGUUAUGAGUAACAAAUUGCCAACAAAGGAUACCUUAUUAAAGAGGAAUAUUUGCUUACCUAACUCUAUAAGUGCAUCUUUUGUAAGAAGGAAGACAAGACUAUGGGGGCAUGUCUUGUUUUGCUGCCAAAAAAGUGGUGGAUAUUUGGAAGAAUUUAUAUGCAUUUCUUGAAGCAUCAUCUCAGCAGUGAGUCGCCAGCCACUAAAAAGACUAGCUGAUUCAUUUAUGGUGCGCUAAAGUCUGGGUCCUUUGGAAACACAGGAACCAGAGUGUGUUUAAUGGGACAGAUUUUAAUAAAGACAACAUUUUGCACGAUAUUUUGUUCAAUGUGUGGUCUUAGCUAAAGGAGUUUGACAAAAAAAAUUUGGUUACGACUUUGUUAAAUAAAUGGUUAGCCUCACUGCUGGUAUUUUUGGUUGAUUGAAAGAUGCUAAACUAGGGGUCUUUUAGUGAGGGGGUAUGGCUAGACGAGCUGCAUUUGAAGGCUAAAAUGGUGGAGCAAAACAAAUUUAUGGCAGAUGGUAACAACAACAUUCUUUGGGGUCAUGCUGAAUUUCAAAGAUAUAGCAUUACAUUUUUAUGGGAGCUUAGUCGACCGGGAUAAAUCAGCGUAGUACCAAAUAAAACCCCAGAGUUUGUUAGAGCUAGCACAACGAUUUUCACUUGAUUUGCUCAAGAGGCAUUUUAUA
RNAcentral lists this long non-coding RNA (1643 nucleotides) under Glycine max (soybean). RNAcentral's name for it is "long non-coding RNA (GMAX_LNC002858)". Lineage: Eukaryota; Viridiplantae; Streptophyta; Magnoliopsida; Fabales; Fabaceae. The record is from RNAcentral.